AAGCGUGCGCAGCGGUUUUGUAAGACUGUCGUGAAAUCCCCGGGCCUCAACCUGGGAAUGGCGAUGGUGACUGCAAGGCUAGAGUUUGGCAGAGGGGGGUAGGAAUUCCACGUGUAGCAGUGAAAUGCGUAGAUAUGUGGAGGAACACCGAUGGCGAAGGCAGCCCCCUGGGUCAAAACUGACGCUCAUGCACGAAAGCGUGGGGAGCAAACAGGAUUAGAUACCCCAGU
This 230-nucleotide ribosomal RNA is filed under the name uncultured bacterium. Its description in RNAcentral is "partial 16S ribosomal RNA". It matches the Rfam family "Bacterial small subunit ribosomal RNA", at positions 563 to 791 of the family's 1533-position model. The record is from RNAcentral.